AACGAAGCUAACGCGUGAAGUUGACCGCCUGGGGAGUACGGCCGCAAGGUUAAAACUCAAAGGAAUUGACGGGGACCCGCACAAGCGGUGGAUUAUGUGGAUUAAUUCGAUGCAACGCGAAAAACCUUACCUACCCUUGACAUGCCAGGAAGCUCCCAGAGAUGGGAGUGUGCCCGAAAGGGAACCUGGACACAGGUGCUGCAUGGCUGUCGUCAGCUCGUGUCGUGAGAUGUUGGGUUAAGUCCCGCAACGAGCGCAACCCUUGCCAUUAGUUGCCACAUUCAGUUGGGCACUCUAAUGGGACUGCCGGUGACAAACCGGAGGAAGGUGGGGAUGACGUCAAGUCCUCAUGGCCCUUAUGGGUAGGGCUUCACACGUAAUACAAUGGCCGGUACAGAGGGCAGCCAACCCGCGAGGGGGAGCUAAUCCCAGAAAGCCGGUCGUAGUCCGGAUUGCAGUCUGCAACUCGACUGCAUGAAGCCGGAAUCGCUAGUAAUCGCGGAUCAGCAUGUCGCGGUGAAUACGUUCCCGGGUCUUGUACACACCGCCCGUCACACCAUGGGAGUGGGUUCCACCAGAAGUAGUUAGCCUAACCGCAAGGAGGGCGACUACCACGGU
RNAcentral lists this ribosomal RNA (618 nucleotides) under uncultured soil bacterium. Its description in RNAcentral is "bacterial SSU rRNA". It matches the Rfam family "Bacterial small subunit ribosomal RNA", at positions 845 to 1463 of the family's 1533-position model. The record is from RNAcentral.